GAUGAACGCUGGCGGCGUGCCUAAUACAUGCAAGUCGAGCGAACGGACGAGAAGCUUGCUUUUCUGAUGUUAGCGGCGGACGGGUGAGUAACACGUGGAUAACCUACCUAUAAGACUGGGAUAACUUCGGGAAACCGGAGCUAAUACCGGAUAAUAUUUUGAACCGCAUGGUUCAAAAGUGAAAGACGGUCUUGCUGUCACUUAUAGAUGGAUCCGCGCUGCAUUAGCUAGUUGGUAAGGUAACGGCUUACCAAGGCAACGAUGCAUAGCCGACCUGAGAGGGUGAUCGGCCACACUGGAACUGAGACACGGUCCAGACUCCUACGGGAGGCAGCAGUAGGGAAUCUUCCGCAAUGGACGAAAGCCUGACGGAGCAACGCCGCGUGAGUGAUGAAGGUCUUCGGAUCGUAAAACUCUGUUAUUAGGGAAGAACAUAUGUGUAAGUAACUGUGCACAUCUUGACGGUACCUAAUCAGAAAGCCACGGCUAACUACGUG
This 497-nucleotide ribosomal RNA is filed under the name uncultured bacterium. RNAcentral's name for it is "partial 16S ribosomal RNA". It matches the Rfam family "Bacterial small subunit ribosomal RNA", at positions 28 to 507 of the family's 1533-position model. The record is from RNAcentral.